RNAcentral lists this long non-coding RNA (434 nucleotides) under Gallus gallus (chicken). RNAcentral describes it as "lncRNA (ENSGALG00010011494.1)". The record is from RNAcentral. Lineage: Eukaryota; Metazoa; Chordata; Aves; Galliformes; Phasianidae.
GUGGAAAUGCAAACUGGAACUUGUCAGCAUGAUCAUUUCUUAGAGUUAAAGAGGAAAAUCACUUUUUUGGGAAUGAUUAAUCUUUGCUUGGAUAGUGAUAGGACAAGGGGGAAUGGUUUUAAACUGAGACAGGCAAGAUUUAGUUUGGAUAUGAGGAGGAAGGUUUUCACCCAGAGUGGUGACGCGCUGGAACAGGUUGCCCAAGGAGGCUGUGGAUGCCCCAUCCCUGGAGGCAUUCAAGGCCAGGCUGGAUGUGGCUCUGGGCAGCCUGGUCUGCUGGUUGGCGACCCUGCACAUAGCAGGGGGUUGGAACUGGAUGAGCAUUGUGGUCCUUUGCAACCCAGGCCAUUCUGUGAUUCUAUGAUUACUCCCUCUGCACUUAGCAGAACAAUUUGCAUGUUUUUCUAUAUAUACAACAAGGAUUGUUAGGCAAC